AUAAUAGAAAGUCCAUAGGCAAUUAUAUGAAGGGACAAUUCUUGAAAAACAGAUUCUUGAUUUUUUUCUUGGCAUACACUUUCUAAUUAGUUUUACUUUAGCACCUUUCUUUUUUAUAAUUUGCCAAAAUGUACUAUCUUUUAUUCACAGCUUUUGGUCCCAGGAUUAUUCAACCUAGCUCAUAAAAGAAAACAAUAUUGCAUUUCUAAGCAUUUGUUCCUAGAAUUGGCAAGUUUAGUCGAGAAAAGCUGGAAUGACAUUAAAACAACACCCUGUCAUCUUUCAAUCAGUCCUUAGCUGAAGUUAAAAUCCCACUCAUUCUACAUGAUUCAGUCUCUGUAGCAUAGAGUAAGUAGCCCCUUAGCAAGAACCAAAAUGGAGGGUAUGGAUGAGGCUCAGAUCAUCACCAUCUGGAGAAUAGAGACAGUGCCUGAGUCGCCAGGAAAUCUGUCCCCUGCUCAUCCCAGAAUCCCCAAUGUUUGACUUUUUAAGGGAACAUGUGACGGAUAAUGCCAUCUGAGAAGGAUUGCCUCCUUUACUGUAUGUUUUCCAGUGAGAUGAAGAUUUUGGUCAUUUCCUCAUUCAUAUUCCUGCUUUUCAAAACCCAAGCAAGAAAGGAAACUUCUGCAGUGACUUUCUCAUUAUGAAAUCUUAGCAUUCACUAACUGGCCAUGAUGGACAACCAGCCAAAUGGACACAUAUACACUAGUCUGUACCUGCAGAGAAAGAACUGCAAAUCUCUGUGAUCAGAAAACUAUCCUAUCUUGUACAUUAUUAAAAGUCUGCCUCCAAAAAGUUUACUUCUGGAAUACUGUAAUUGAAUAGAAUCAGGGAUUCUACCUGUGUCCUUCAACUUUCACAUCUUGUCUACUGAAGUAAAGGUUGAAUUUGCAUUAGACCCAAUGCAGUAGACACAGUAGUCUGUGAAUGGAAAUGGGCAAACCUGUGACCUCCCAAAAAUUAAAUGUGAAAGUUUUGUUUGUAUAUACUCAUGGCAUUAUUCUUUUAAUGAAGAGAUAAUCUGUAUACUUUUCUUUUUUAAAAGAUACUUUUAUUUCUUUAUUGUUGUGAACUGACACAGCUAAUUUCUUUCUGAAGAGGUUCUUUGGUUGAGAAUGGUAGCAACUAGUUUGAUGUGGGGGGUGAGAGUUAGCAGUCCCCCACAAUCUUACUUUCAGGUUAUAAUGAAAGAAAUCUCUUACAAAAUUUUUACACAUGGUGAAGGCUGCUCUCUGCUUCCAAGAUAUCCUCUUCUCACUGCAGCCUUACAUGACAGAAAGGCAAAAAGGGACUAAUGCUGUGUCCUCACAUGCAGAGAGAUGGAAGGGCCAGGCAGCUCUCGGAAACCCCUUUUAUAAGGUCAUUAAUCCCAUUCACAAGGGUGGAGCC
Molecule: long non-coding RNA, 1389 nt
Organism: Chlorocebus sabaeus (green monkey)
Lineage: Eukaryota; Metazoa; Chordata; Mammalia; Primates; Cercopithecidae
Source: RefSeq, a predicted model, not a curated record